AUGAUGUGUCCACACCUUGGUGUGGUAAGAGUGAUCCUAUGCUGCCUAGAAAAGCUUCGUGAGCGAGAUAUGAGCCGCCCGUACCCCAAACCGACACAGGUGGAUAGGUAGAGAAUACCAAGGCGAUCGAGAGAAUCGUGGUGAAGGAACUCGGCAAAAUACCCCGUAACUUCGGGAUAAGGGGGACCUGACACGUAUAAGAGCUUUGCCUCGAAAGCGUUGAGGGUCGCAGAGACCAGGCCCAAGCGACUGUUUACUAAAAACACAGGUCCGUGCUAAGUCGAAAGACGAUGUAUACGGACUGACUCCUGCCCGGUGCUGGAAGGUUAAGGGGAACUGUUAGUCAGUAAUGGCGAAGCGGUGAACUUAAGCCCCAGUAAACGGCGGUGGUAACUAUAACCAUCCUAAGGUAGCGAAAUUCCUUGUCGGGUAAGUUCCGACCUGCACGAAUGGAGUAACGAUUUGGGCGCUGUCUCCACCACGAACUCGGCGAAAUUGCAUUACGAGUAAAGAUG
RNAcentral lists this ribosomal RNA (515 nucleotides) under uncultured bacterium. RNAcentral's name for it is "bacterial LSU rRNA". It matches the Rfam family "Bacterial large subunit ribosomal RNA", at positions 1563 to 2061 of the family's 2925-position model. The record is from RNAcentral.